Molecule: long non-coding RNA, 546 nt
Organism: Scophthalmus maximus (turbot)
Lineage: Eukaryota; Metazoa; Chordata; Actinopteri; Pleuronectiformes; Scophthalmidae
Exons: 3
Source: RefSeq, a predicted model, not a curated record
GGGGGAGGCAGUCUGGGGAGUCCAAGUGGGGGCCAGUCCUGACGUGUGAUAUCAUCUCCAGGUCAGACGUCAACUGGUACAGGUGGUCAACCCCGCCCACAUACAGACGCCCCGCCCCAGAGUCCAGCAGCAGGAGCCUCAGAUCUCGACAGCUGCAGACUGACCUCAGCACAGCCGCUCCACUUCAAACCCACUGGACCAGAUCUGGACCUGAACCUGGUCUUGACUGAACGGGAUCCAGACUGGACCAGAGGACAGACAGAAACCGGCUGCAGUCCCACCACCACCACAACGAGAUCCUGAGGGGUUCUGGGACCUGAAACUGGACCUGGACAGGCUGUAGACAGCAUCAGCAAAUCCUGAAGCUGCAGGGCUUUGUCCUCUGAGUCUCAGUAUGAACCAGUUUCUGUUCUGAUCCGGUCUGAAAGGAGCUGAUUGGUCUUUUGUCCUCAGACUGCAGACGAGAAUCUGAGGGUUUUAAAGCGUCACAUGAUCAUCGUCAUCAUCAGUGUGUUUUAGCCACGGUGAAGCUGCGGAGCUGUCCUC